Long non-coding RNA from Lathyrus oleraceus (garden pea), 270 nucleotides. RefSeq lists it as uncharacterized. Lineage: Eukaryota; Viridiplantae; Streptophyta; Magnoliopsida; Fabales; Fabaceae. The transcript has 4 exons. The record is from RefSeq and is a predicted model, not a curated record.
ACUAAAAUGUUCAACCCUUCUAAGCUAUGUUCAGAAGGUAUCUGAUAAGGUUUCUCUGGCUACUGAUUUAAUAUGCAACUUCAACUCCAUGUCAAGAGACGUCACUGCUAGCUUUGGUUAUGACUAGAUCCUUUGACAGUGCCGCCUUAGGGGAAAGGUUGAUUCCAAUGGCGUCUGUGCUGCAUUUUUGGAGGAGCGGUUAAACAUGGGUCUGAACUUCAUUCUUUCUGCCGAGCUUGAUCACAAGAAAAAAGACUACAAAUUUGUAUU